AUGAUCUGGCUUUUAAAUGAGAAAAAUUAGAACUUCUCAAACUACACCAUUGGAUAAGGUUUCACAGCAAUAAAUACGAUUAUACAUUUAGCUUAAUAAAUGGAUAUCAACCAUACUCCGGAGAAGAACCAAAAGAAAGAGAAAACAAGACAAAAAAAGAAAAGGAACCAUUCUAAAAGUUACUGGGAUUGAAAUCUUAAGAGCAAAGCAGACUUCAAACCAGAAAACAUAAAAUGAGACAACGGACACAUCACAAGUUACUCACAGUGACAACUAUCUAUGAACUAAUUAACUCUGGCAAGUAUUCCUUUAAAACAAAAACCACACGAGAUCCAAGGACAGAAAUACAGCAGUAUUAGGAAACUUGGAAAUUACCAAUCUGUACAAAAUAGAUCCAGUGAACAAAGAAAUCAAAAUAAAUAAGUUAGAUCUUAGGUCUUUUGGAUAUAUACUGAAGAGAGAAAAUCGGUGCCCUUAAGAGAGAAAAUUUGCCUUCUCAAGAAAUGUUCUCUAAAUUCAAGGAAUGUUUUCAAAAAGCAAUCAUACUCUAGGGCACAAAGAAAACACCAGUAAGUUCUGUGAAAUACUACAAACAAAACUAACCACAAUACAUUAAAAGUAGAAACUAAAAGUCCCUCAAUUUGGAAAUCAAUAAAAAACCUACACAUUUGAUUAAAGG
Molecule: long non-coding RNA, 679 nt
Organism: Talpa occidentalis (Iberian mole)
Lineage: Eukaryota; Metazoa; Chordata; Mammalia; Eulipotyphla; Talpidae
Exons: 3
Source: RefSeq, a predicted model, not a curated record